This 245-nucleotide ribosomal RNA is filed under the name uncultured archaeon. Its description in RNAcentral is "partial 16S ribosomal RNA". It matches the Rfam family "Archaeal small subunit ribosomal RNA", at positions 474 to 718 of the family's 1478-position model. The record is from RNAcentral.
CACCGGCGCCCCGAGUGGCCAUCGCGAUUAUUGGGCCUAAAGCGUCCGUAGCCGGGCGAGUAAAUCCUCUGUGAAAUCGUUGCGCUUAACGUAACGGCGCGCAGGGGACACUGCUCGUCUUGAGACCGGGAGGGGUCAGAGGUAUGCCGUGGGGACUGGUAAAAUGGUAUAAUCCACGGUAGACCACCAAUGGCGAAGGCAUCUGACCAGAACGGAUCUGACGGUGAGGGACGAAAGCCAGGGGA